RNAcentral lists this long non-coding RNA (1417 nucleotides) under Capra hircus (goat). Its description in RNAcentral is "lncRNA (ENSCHIG00000007975.1)". The record is from RNAcentral. Lineage: Eukaryota; Metazoa; Chordata; Mammalia; Artiodactyla; Bovidae.
CUAUGACAGCUGAGUUUCUUUUAGAUAAUAAGUUAAUUGGCAGUCAUUUUGUACAAAUCAAACAUUUAAAUAUUUAUAUGCAAAAUUAGAAUUAUUUAGAGUUUUGAAAAAAUACUCUUACCCAGCACAGACACUAUAGUUUAAGGAAUAUUCCUGAGUCACUUCCUGUGACUCACUGACCAGCUAUCAUAUUUGUUAAACAUACAUAAGCACUGAUCUUUGAUCAAUUUUAUAUUUUUUCCAGAUUAAGUCAGACUUCAGAUUUAACCGAUUCUCUAAAUUAACCUUAUAAUCAACUAUCACAUCUCUUUUCAUGUAGAAAGAAGGGGUGGAGGUUGGAACUCCAACAGAUCCAUGAGUCACCAGGAACCUUUGUCCAUCAACGAACCCGGGCUCAUCAAGAAACUCCACCAUUCUCUAUUUAUACUUAGAACAUAUGAGUUCUUCAGUCACCUUGGAAGAAGAAGCAACAGCUGGAGGCUAUUACAUCACAUCUUCUCUACUUUAGCCCAGAAGUGGCACAUAACUUUUAUCCACAGCCCACAGUCUAGAACAAGUUACAUACCUACAGGUAGAAGGAUAGGAAUGUCAAGGACAUAAAGUAGAAUGUUUGGUAACCACCACUCUCUGUGUCACAUUAAAAAUCACACACUAUAGGGGACAUUCUUGGCUGUCCAGUGGUUGGGACUCAUGCUUCCAUUGCAGAGGGCACGGGUUCAAUCCUUGGUCAGGAAACUAAAAUCCCUCUUGGAAUGGCAGAAAAAAAAAAUCACACUCUAUACAUAACGUUAUUCCUCUCUUUGUGCUUAAAAUUAUAAGCAUUUUUGCACAUCCUUAAAUCUCUUCAUAAACACAUAAAUAUGACCCUCUGUUAUUUAGUCAUUGUUUUACUAUUAUCAAUAUUGCUGUGUGCCUGGCAAUUUCCUAAGUACUUUAUGGGCAAUGUUUUCAUUCAAUUCUCACAACUACUCUAUGAGGAAGAUACAAUAGUAUAACCACUUUAUGGUUCUGAAAAUGGAGGCCUAAUGAGUAAAUUUUCCAAGGACACACAAUAAGUAAGUGGCAGAUCUGAGACUCUCACAGAGAACUGUCAGACGUUCAAGCCCAUGCUCUUAACCAAUGAGUGUAAACUAAAGAACUGCGGUCCAAGUGUAAAACACAACACUGCUGCACUGGGUUACUGACCAGAAAGUGCAACAUCACAGGGGUAGGAAAGGAUUCAUCAGACCAUAAGGAACUGUUGUUACAGGUUAACUUACAAACAAUAGAAACAAUGACAGAUGAAAAUUCGAACCCAACAGAAGAUUGAUCAAAUUUUCGAAUUCUUUUUGUUUCCCUGUGAAGUAUUUCAAAAGAUGACUGGCCUCUUUGAACUCAUUAAGGUCUCUAGAUUCUUAGAUUAUGUUGGAAGGAGGGG